UCCCUGGUAUCUUAGUCAGUAAAGAAUCUGCCUGCAGUGCAGGAGACCUGGGUUCAAUCCCCAGGCCUGGAA
RNAcentral lists this transfer RNA (72 nucleotides) under Bos taurus (domestic cattle). It matches the Rfam family "tRNA". From Rfam's summary of the family: Transfer RNA (tRNA) molecules are approximately 80 nucleotides in length. RNAcentral also lists the same sequence under 2 other names. Lineage: Eukaryota; Metazoa; Chordata; Mammalia; Artiodactyla; Bovidae. The record is from Rfam by way of RNAcentral.